UUACAGGGGUCUUAUUCUACAGGACCUCACCUUUGUACAUCUUGGAAAUCCAGACCACAUUGAUGGUAAAGUUAACUUCUCCAAGCGCUGGCAACAGUUUAACAUUUUGGACAGCAUGAGGCGUUUCCAGCAGGUACAUUAUGAUAUAUGACGGAACGAUGAAAUCAUCUCCUUUUUCAACGACUUCAGCGACCACCUGGCCGAGGAGGCUCUGUGGGAACUGUCUUUAAAGAUCAAACCUCGAAAUAUAACAAGGAGGAAAACAGAGAGGGACGAGAAAACCUAAAGCGGUUUUGGCAGGAGAGACUGCAAAGCGGGAAAUAUCUGCCGCAAAGAGGGGAAACCAAGGAGUCGACAUGUUUACUGUUGCUUACACCGACAUCUUUCUUAACCCCUCCCAGUAACAUGGGACAUAAUCUUCCUGUUGCCGCCAUCUGUGUUAUGGCGUAUUAUUUGUGCAAUCUAGUAGGAGACAGACGGACUGUGCCAUUGCUACAUGUAACCCAAGGUCAUAUAUGGGGAUGCAUGUUUAUGGGCUCCAGUUUAAUUUGUCCCCGUAUGUUAAUUCUAAAGAAUCUGGUCAAACACUGACGAGGAAGAAUGGGUAUAAAACCCAGAAAAAUACUGCAAUCAAGAACUCACUUUAUUUGCCAAGAUUUAUCCUUUAUUUUAUAACCCUGCCAUCUUUUCCCCCCCUAGCAGAGCGCGGCAUGCGCUCCGCUCUUGUAAAUGUCAGUAUUUUCAUUUAAGGCAGGCUAAUGUGAUAUUAUUUUUUUACGGUCUUGCAUGACUGUCAUAACAGGGACUGUGCUCAAUGUACAUACAGGAUUACAAGUCCAGAUUAUAAAUCUGUGUAAGUGAGAAUCAGCCGGACGUCACAGAUCGCUCUCACUCAACAGGUCAAAUAAAUGUUUCAAACAUUAGUGAAAAUUGUCUUGCUGAAACUGUUUGUUUUUUUGUCUAGAUAACCAUUUAACUUAUUUGUAUCUUAUGAUGAUGUUUUUUUGUGCUCAUUCUGCUAAAGUCCAUAACAGCCGCUGCUUGUCUUAGCACAGCGGUACCAGCAGAGUAAUCUGGUCCUAUCAAUAAAAACAACAUUAAACACA
Bombina bombina (fire-bellied toad) is the source of this 1106-nucleotide long non-coding RNA. RefSeq lists it as uncharacterized. The record is from RefSeq and is a predicted model, not a curated record. Lineage: Eukaryota; Metazoa; Chordata; Amphibia; Anura; Bombinatoridae. The transcript is spliced from 2 exons.